GUUUCCUCAGACGGGUGGCGUCUCCCUUAGAGAGAGGGUGAGAAGCUCAGCCAUCAGGAGAGACUCGGAGUAGAGCCGCUGCUCCUUUACGUUGAAAGGAGCCAGUUGAGGUGGUUCAUCAUCUAGUAAGGAGCCACCUGGGCGCCUCCCUAGGGAGGUGUUCCAGGCACGUCCAGCUGGGAGGAGACCCCGGGGAAGACCCAGGACUCGGUGGAGAGAUGAUAUCUCCUCACUGGGAACGCCUCAGGAUCCCCCAGUCGGAGCUGGAGGAUGUGGCCCGGAGAAGGGAAGAUUGGGGUUCCUUACUGGAGCUGCUGCCCCCGCGACCCGAUCCCGGAUAAGAUGUAGACGAUGGAUGGAUUUUAUAUCUUAUAAAUGUUUAUAUCUUAUGGAUGUUACAGAGGAGUCUCCUCCUGCUGGAUGUUACAGAGGAGUCUCCUGCUGGAUGUUACAGAGGAGUCUCCUGCUGGAUGUUACAGAGGAGUCUCCUCCUGCUGGAUGUUACAGAGGAGUCUCCUCCUGCUGGAUGUUACAGUGGAGUCUCCUGCUGGAUGUUACAGAGGAGUCUCCUGCUGGAUGUUACAGAGGAGUCUCCUGCUGGAUGUUACAGAGGAGUCUCCUGCUGGAUGUUACAGAGGAGUCUCCUGCUGGAUGUUACAGAGGAGUCUCCUGCUGGAUGUUACAGAGGAGUCUCCUGCUGGAUGUUACAGAGGAGUCUCCUCCUGCUGAAUGUUACAGAGGAGUCUCCUCCUGCUGGAUGUUACAGAGGAGUCUCCUCCUGCUGGAUGUUACAGAGGAGUCUCCUGCUGCUGGAUGUUACAGAGGAGUCUCCUCCUGCUGGAUGUUACAGAGGAGUCUCCUCCUGCUGGAUGUUACAGAGGAGUCUCCUCCUGCUGGAUGUUACAGAGGAGUCUCCUCCUGCUGGAUGUUACAGUGGAGUCUCCUGCUGGAUGUUACAGAGGAGUCUCCUGCUGGAUGUUACAGAGGAGUCUCCUGCUGGAUGUUACAGAGGAGUCUCCUGCUGGAUGUUACAGAGGAGUCUCCUCCUGCU
RNAcentral lists this long non-coding RNA (1051 nucleotides) under Cottoperca gobio. RNAcentral describes it as "lncRNA (ENSCGOG00000016518.1)". The record is from RNAcentral. Lineage: Eukaryota; Metazoa; Chordata; Actinopteri; Perciformes; Bovichtidae.